RNAcentral lists this ribosomal RNA (253 nucleotides) under uncultured bacterium. Its description in RNAcentral is "partial 16S ribosomal RNA". It matches the Rfam family "Bacterial small subunit ribosomal RNA", at positions 524 to 776 of the family's 1533-position model. The record is from RNAcentral.
UACGGAGGGUGCGAGCGUUAAUCGGAAUUACUGGGCGUAAAGGGCACGCAGGCGGGCAAUUAAGUGAGAUGUGAAAUCCCCGGGCUUAACCUGGGAAUUGCAUUUGAGACUGGGUGUCUAGAGUAUUGUAGGGGGGGGUAGAAUUCCAUGUGUAGCGGUGAAAUGCGUAGAGAUGUGGAGGAAUACCGGUGGCGAAGGCGGCCCCCUGGACAAGGACUGACGCUCAGGUGCGAAAGCGUGGGGAGCAAACAGG